UACGUAGGGGGCAAGCGUUGUCCGGAAUCAUUGGGCGUAAAGAGCGCGUAGGCGGCCCGAUAAGUCCGCUCUGAAAGUCAAAGGCUCAACCUUUGAAAGCGGGUGGAUACUGUCGGGCUAGAGUCCGGAAGAGGCGAGUGGAAUUCCUGGUGUAGCGGUGGAAUGCGCAGAUAUCAGGAGGAACACCAACGGCGAAGGCAGCUCGCUGGGACGGUACUGACGCUGAGGCGCGAAAGCGUGGGGAGCGAACAGG
Molecule: ribosomal RNA, 253 nt
Filed under: uncultured bacterium
Lineage: Bacteria
Description: partial 16S ribosomal RNA
Rfam family: Bacterial small subunit ribosomal RNA
Source: RNAcentral